Molecule: ribosomal RNA, 394 nt
Filed under: uncultured bacterium
Lineage: Bacteria
Description: bacterial SSU rRNA
Rfam family: Bacterial small subunit ribosomal RNA
Source: RNAcentral
AGAGUGGUCUUUCCUUCGGGAGGCCAUUCACAGGUGUAUGCAUGGCUGUCGUCAGCUCGUGUUGUGAGGUGUUGGGUUAAGUCCCUUAACGAGCGAACCCCUUUUCCUUAUUUGCCAACAGGUUAUGCUGAGAACUAUAAGAAGCCUGCCGUCGAAAGGCGGAGGAAGGAGAGGAUGAUGUCAAAUCAUCAUGUCCCUUUAUGGGAUGGGCUACACACGUGCUACAAUGGGGUGUACAAAGUGUUGCAAUGUAGUGAUACGGAGCCAACCACUAAAGCACUCCUCAGUACGGAUUGAGGCUUGCAACUCAGCCUCAUGAAGCUGGAAUCGCUAGUAAUCGUGGAUCAGAAUGCCGCGGUGAAUACGUUCCUGGGUUUUGCACACACUGCCCGUC